UUCGAAGCAACGCGAAGAACCUUACCAGGCCUUGACAUGCAGAGAACUUUCCAGAGAUGGAUUGGUGCCUUCGGGAACUCUGACACGAGGUGCUGCAUGGCUGUCGUCAGCUCGUGUCGUGAGAUGGUUGGGUUAAGUCCCGUAACGAGCGCAACCCUUGUCCUUAGUUACCAGCACGUUAUGGUGGGCACUCUAAGGAGACUGCCGGUGACAAACCGGAGGAAGGUGGGGAUGACGUCAAGUCAUCAUGGCCCUUACGGCCUGGGCUACACACGUGCUACAAUGGUCGGUACAAAGGGUUGCCAAGCCGCGAGGUGGAGCUAAUCCCAUAAAACCGAUCGUAGUCCGGAUCGCAGUCUGCAACUCGACUGCGUGAAGUCGGAAUCGCUAGUAAUCGUGAAUCAGAAUGUCACGGUGAAUACGUUCCCGGGCCUU
This 435-nucleotide ribosomal RNA is filed under the name uncultured Pseudomonas sp. Its description in RNAcentral is "bacterial SSU rRNA". It matches the Rfam family "Bacterial small subunit ribosomal RNA", at positions 950 to 1382 of the family's 1533-position model. The record is from RNAcentral. Lineage: Bacteria; Pseudomonadati; Pseudomonadota; Gammaproteobacteria; Pseudomonadales; Pseudomonadaceae.